CGCAGCGCUGGAUGCUCGCGCAGGGAGCGGCUCAGCAGAUACUGCCACAAGGGGCUGUCCUCAGCGGGCAGUAGGCGCUUCUCUCGCCGAGAUCGCCAUGGAGGGCACCGUCUCCCUGCCGGGGAGAGGAUACUGGGGGUGCUUCUGCAGGACACCUCGGCUGACCCUUAGGAGCCUUUACAUGGUCAAGACUUCAUGGGGCCCUUUGGAGAAGUGGCAGAGAAAGUCUCCCUGCAGCUUUGAACUCUUCACAUUGAGACACUGGCCUACACUUUGAGUCCCUCCUGCCCCAAAAGAAGACAAACACACGUACUUCCCAGAAGGCAUUGCUCCCACCUAUCGGAUGCCUGGCGCGAGACUCCAACGCAAAUGUGGACGAUGAGCCUGAUCCUGUUCAACUAACAGCGUACCCAACUCUGGGGGAUGAACUGUGACCAGUCUCAGGCUGUCACAACCAACCUAGUGCUUUUUUCAAGAUAUCUGCUCUCACCUUCUCCUGCAGUUCAUUUCUGGCCAGAGACAAAGGGGUGCUUCUCAGGACGUUUCCCUCCUUGAUGAUAAGAAACCUCCUUUUCUUGUUUAGCUUCAUCUUACCUUGAAUGGGGUUGUGUAAAGAUGAAAUGCUUGGAAUCAUAGCAGCCAUAUUCUGGCCAUGAAGCAACAAGUUUAAGGAUUGAAAACAACCAAACGGUGAGGAUGGCGAGAGGAAAGAUGGAGUGUUGGUCUUUGAAGACAUUAUCUAGCCAUUAAACCACCCCUAGCAACUGUCUACCUCCAGACUACUUGUUAUGUGAGAGAAUGGAGCCUUUUAUGUUUAAGCAAAUGAUUAGCUACAUCUUACUUGAAGCUCAAAGCAUUCCUAACUGAUACAGGCCCCCAACCAGGGUGGCCUGUGCCCAUCGGGGUGGCUUAAAGUUGGUACUGAGAUAAACCUGUCUGUUUUUUCUUCAGCCUAGAGUGACAGAUUUCAUACUGAACUUGAAAUCAUGCCCUCUAAAGGUGAGGAUUCGUUUUUCUCAGGAGUGAGCUUUCUCAUAGGAGAUGCCCCAUCUCAGACUAAUGGCAGGCCUAGUUCCUCCCCGUCCCUCCCCACAGCCUGAUGAGUCCAAAUGCCAGCACUGGGCACCCAUCGUCGCCCUCCUGCAUGCCUGUGGCCACCUACAUUUCUCACUCAUGCUUCAGUGGGUCA
This is a long non-coding RNA of Rhinolophus ferrumequinum (greater horseshoe bat), 1189 nucleotides long. RefSeq lists it as uncharacterized. The record is from RefSeq and is a predicted model, not a curated record. The transcript has 3 exons. NCBI's taxonomy places the organism in Eukaryota, Metazoa, Chordata, Mammalia, Chiroptera, Rhinolophidae.